RNAcentral lists this ribosomal RNA (235 nucleotides) under uncultured bacterium. RNAcentral describes it as "partial 16S ribosomal RNA". It matches the Rfam family "Bacterial small subunit ribosomal RNA", at positions 99 to 334 of the family's 1533-position model. RNAcentral also lists the same sequence under 1 other name. The record is from RNAcentral.
CGCACGGGUGAGUAACACGUAUCCAACCUGCCGUCUACUCUUGGACAGCCUUCUGAAAGGAAGAUUAAUACAAGAUGGCAUCAUGAGUCCGCAUGUUCACAUGAUUAAAGGUAUUCCGGUAGACGAUGGGGAUGCGUUCCAUUAGAUAGUAGGCGGGGUAACGGCCCACCUAGUCUUCGAUGGAUAGGGGUUCUGAGAGGAAGGUCCCCCACAUUGGAACUGAGACACGGUCCAA